GGUGGGUGCGCUUGCAACUUGCAUCGUUCACGGUUUUAUUAAAAGCAAGUAUAAUAAGAUAUAGUCAAUAGGCUUUAAAAAUUAAAAUAUUAUAUUUUUACUAAGUUGGAUGAGAGAGAAGAUAAAAGAGAAGAAAACGAGUUUUUGUGAAGAGCUAGCUCUAGCACGUGUUCCUUGUGCUUUGUGAGAAAUGAAAGAUGAAACAUAUAUAAUAAAGGUAAUACUCUUUUAC
This 232-nucleotide long non-coding RNA is filed under the name Hordeum vulgare. Its description in RNAcentral is "long non-coding RNA (HVUL_LNC005916)". The record is from RNAcentral. Lineage: Eukaryota; Viridiplantae; Streptophyta; Magnoliopsida; Poales; Poaceae.